This is a small nucleolar RNA of Hibiscus syriacus, 96 nucleotides long. NCBI's taxonomy places the organism in Eukaryota, Viridiplantae, Streptophyta, Magnoliopsida, Malvales, Malvaceae. The record is from RefSeq and is a predicted model, not a curated record.
UGGCGAUGAUUACUUUUUUUAUUUUAUCCGCGCUUCUUAGAGCAGUUCAUGAAGCAAACAAGUGAUAAAAAUGGUUGAAUUCCUUGAUAUGGGCCA